UCUCCGUUGGUGAACCAGCGGAGGGAUCAUUACAGAGUUUUUAACUCCCAAACCCUUUGUGAACUUACCUUAUUGUUGCCUCGGCGAGCCCCUGGGAUUCGUCCUACGCCCGCCGGUGGCCCCCUACUCUGACUCACUGCGUUGGCAUCUCAGAGAAUACACAAACCAAUUAAAACUUUCAACAACGGAUCUCUUGGCUCUGGCAUCGAUGAAGAACGCAGC
This 222-nucleotide unclassified non-coding RNA is filed under the name uncultured fungus. Its description in RNAcentral is "sequence contains ITS1, 5.8S rRNA gene". The stretch from base 174 to 222 matches the Rfam family "5.8S ribosomal RNA", at positions 1 to 49 of the family's 154-position model. Lineage: Eukaryota; Fungi. The record is from RNAcentral.